Molecule: long non-coding RNA, 4497 nt
Organism: Aethalodelphis obliquidens (Pacific white-sided dolphin)
Lineage: Eukaryota; Metazoa; Chordata; Mammalia; Artiodactyla; Delphinidae
Exons: 3
Source: RefSeq, a predicted model, not a curated record
GGAAAAAAAAAAGAGAGAGAGAGAGAGUAAAUCCUAGAAGAGUUCUCAUCACAAGGAGAAAAAAUGUUUCCCCUUUAUUCUUUUCUUUUUAUUGUAUCUAUACGAGAAGAUGGAUGUGAGCUGAACCUAUUGCAAUAAUCCUUUUACAGUAUGUGUAAAUCAAACCAUCAUGGCCUUAAACUUAUGCAUGGAUGUACGUCAAUUAUUUCUCAGUAAAACUGGGGGAAAAAAAAACUUUGGAGGCACUGCCAAAUUCAGUCAUUCGGAUAAAUACUAUUUUAAUGCAACAUUUGAAAAAACUCCCAAUGAAUGCAAAAACAUCUGCAAUGAACAAAGUAUCUAAGUGUUAAAUAUUGACAGGCUGUGACCCCUGCACUGGCUCCACCCUCACCUCACCCUAUUUCAGGCGCUGCUGCACCUGGGAGGCCAUUCCUCCUGCCCAGCCUCCCCUCCCUGCAGUAAAGGCCUCUGAUUAAACCUUCAUUCCAGAUAAUUAAGCCCAGGGAUCUGGGGGCCUAGCAGUGAUGCAGGAGGGAGACCCUGGCAGGGGUGGGCCAAGCUGGCCCUCCCCCCGGGGAGAGGGAAGGCCAGGAGGGAGAUCACUGAGUGGCUGGAGCAGAAGCCUGAACUUAAUUAGCCCCUCAGGAUUAAUUACUAGGCCCAGGAACAGGCUGACAAAUCUAUUACCCGAGUGGCUCCCAGCUCCAGGCUUCCCUCAUUCUCUCCAUCAUUUUUCUCUAAACCUCCUCCUCAUGCUUUUCCAAGAAAAUAUAUUUAUUAAAAAAAUGCAACUUUAUAUCCUACCAUGAAAACCCAGAUACAUAUUUUCUGCGCAGAGUAGAUGGUAUAUAAAUUUGGGGAGCUAUACAAUGAAGUAACUAUAUAACUGUUAAAAAAUGAUCUACGUGGUUCUGUUUGGAACCAUGGCAACAGCUGUGAGCAAUGAGUAUGUGCUGAGCGUGUACGCACUCUUAGCUCAUCUUCUCACAACAUCUCUGCGGGGGGUGCAAGCUAUCAGCACCCCCAUUUUGCAAGAGCUUUCUGACACUAGGAUCUGUGCUCUGGGACCCCACAGAACAACCCAGAGUGGGUUCUGACUUGAGAUCUUGUCCUGCAAAGCCCCGACAGGCUCUUCUGUGAGCCACUUUGGGUUCCAGUUGAGCCCAGAUCUUGUUACUUUUUGCUUUCUGCCUCCAAACAUUUACCUUGGCUUUUUUUUUUUACCCUCCCACCAGAAACGCCCCUCCUUCAUGCCCCUCCUUCGUAUGUGUGAAUCUGCCUCAGUUUUCAAAACUCAGGGGCACAUGUCUGCAGGAGGUUUUCUUUGUGAACCCCUAAAUUGAGGCUUCACCCACCCAUCCCACCACAGGCUCCCCCACAGUCUCCUCCCCAGCCUGAUUGCUCGGGCUGGAAGGUCUCUGUGUCUCCCAGCUUGGGGGCAUCUCCGGCACUGGCUCUUUGGAUCCUGCAUAGCCCAGCUCGGGUAGGAUAUCAGUCACGGGAGGACACUCAUGGGCUCUUUGGUUUCUCCUCUCACCUCCAAGCACUAGUAUUAUCCUCCCAUUUUACAGGGGAGGAAACUGAGGCUGGGAGAGAGCCAGUGACCUGAGUCACACAGCAGAGAGGGGACAAAGUCCAAUGCUCUGUCAUGAACUGCUUCCUGUGUCCACUGCCCCACACUGUGCAGAUGGGAAACUGAGUCACCAAGGGGCGAACUGGCCUUGCCGAGGUCAUAUGGCUGGUCCUGGCGGUGGAGCUGGGGAUGGGCCCCUCAUCAAAAUGGAAGAUGAAUCUGGAUGGAAGGUGGGAAGGGCCAGAUCAUGGCAGGGCUGGUGGGGGAACCCAUCCUGGGGUAUUCCGUGGGGCCCCAGAGCACAGAUCCUAGUGUCAGAAAGCUCUUGCAAAAUGGGGGUGCUGAUAGCUCACCCCCACCCCCAGAGCUAUUGUGAGGAGAAGACGAGCUAAGAAGAGUAUGUAAACACUCAGUACGUACUCAGUGCUCACAGCUGUUGCCAUGGCCCAGGCAAAAGUGGGCAGGCUGGAAUGAGUGGAUGGGGGGCGAGGGGCAGAGAGAUGGGGCACAGUGGGACUUCCCUGGCGGUCUAGUGGUUAAGAUUCUGCACUUCCAUGGCAGGGAGCAUGGGUUCGAUCCCUGGUCAGGGAACUAAGAUCCGGCAUGCCAUGCGGUGAGGAAAAAAAAAGAAGAGAGAGAGAGAGAUGGGGCACAGUGGGGUAGAGGGAGUGUGUGUCCUCAGACUGGGGACACCGAGGCUCCUACCCCUUCUGCCUUGUCCCCAUCACCCACCUCCCUCUCCUGCUGCAGAAAUACUUAAAGGAGCCCAUGUCUUUUUGGCUGGCCUUUGGGGACAUUUCACCAUUUCCUGGGGUCCAGGGUCUAAGGAAUUAAUUUAACCGGUGCAAGGCUGAGGCUAGGAGAGGCGAACCCCAAAGUGAGAGCCUGACACCCAUUCCUCUACCCCAAGGCGUCCCCUGGCUACCAUAGGUCCAUUACGCAGAUGGGAAGACUGGGGUCCAGAGAGGAAGGAGUGGGCCGGAGGUCUCUCGACCUCAUAAGGCUCACAUCCAGGUGAGUCUCCUCCCCUCCUUCCAGAGCUCUCUCCUGGGGAGCUUUUCAUGCUCAUGAAGACGUGAGUGGUUGAUAGAAGUCUUAAUGGUGGAAACUCAGGUGUGUUAACAGGAAACUGGAGUAAUGACUCCCAGGAAGGCACAAUGCCAGGCGGCAGCUUUAAUGAUCCAGGCCUGACAGCUUCACCCCUUCAGCUGGGUCUCCUGAGCCUCCAGCCUAAUCUUGAGACCCAAGGGCCACUGCUGCCCUCAGUCCGGUGAGCACUCAGGACACACUCGUGGGCACACACACACCUGCGGCUGACACCGCACACCCCGUGGACCACAGCCGGUGCUUGUGGGUGGUAUGUGUCUCCCCCCACCCCCCAGCUUCACACAGCAGCCCAGCCCUCUGCCUGCUGCCUGGGAACAAUUAUAGAGUCAGAGGGAUGCCGCGGCCCGAGAUGGGCCGGCAUCAUGUUUAAUUCAUCUUGGGGCUAAUUAUAGCCAGGCUGGGGGAGGGGCGUGGUAACCUUGGCCUACCCUCCCCAGCCCUUCCUGCCAGCCAGGGUGACUGGGGAAGGGUGGAGGGACGGGGGCUCGUGACCCGCUGUUGGCCCCAGCUCUAGGCAGCUAAGCCAGCCCUCCUGAACCUCCUGCUAGGGUGCAUGCCCGGAGGAGGAAGGAGGCGGCGCUCAUGGCGGAAAGGCGGGCGCAGGGCCUGGCAGGGCGGUGGGAAGAAUGGGGAUUCCAGCUCAGGGCAGCUGUGAGCAAGCAUCAGGAUGGUUCCUUCCCUCCCUCCUCCUUCAGUCCCACGGAUCAGGAUUGAUACUACUAUCUGGGUUGCUACAGGCUGUUACAUCACCUUCCAGGUGGACCCACCAAAGCUAAGGUCCCAGGACAGAGCCGGCUGGUACCUAACGAUAGGUAAUAACCCACACUGAGAUCAUGUGACCGUCCGCACUGUUUGUAGCAUUCGGCCCUCCGUAAACGUUAGCCACAUUCUUUGCCGGUGUCCUUGGGUGCUUACCGUAUGCCCGGAACAGUUCUGAGCAACUUGCACGAUUGUCACCGGACGGAGAUUAACGCCUCGCUCGCCUCCGAUGCAAAACUUGAGGAGGCGCCCACAGAUGCAAGAGAUCUCAGCUUACACAUCACCUCCUCCAGGAAGCCUGAGGCUCCAGCCCAGCUCAGGGGCCUCUUCUGAGCUCCUCCAUCACAGCUCUGACACUAACCUGUGAGUGCUGAGAGGGAGAGGAUGAGCGUGUUUGGGUCCCGGUAUCUGAAAUAGGACCUGGCACACAGCAGUUGCCUGCUCAGGGAAGAAGCGAUGAAAGGCAGAGGAGGCCGAGGAAAGAUGAACAAAGCCACCACGUUCCAGGCCGGCCGGGCAGAAUGGGAGAUUUUCAGGCGGAUUGUGGAAUUCAGCGGGUUGAAUGGAGGCCGCUUCGAGCGAGGAUUCUAGCAGCUCAGAUCACAAAGGCGGCCGAGCGGGGCCUCCUCGGCAACGCUGCCAACACCUGCUCCCUUUUCAGCGCCACAAUAGGGAAGUUAAGCUUCGGCCACGGCCUCCUGCAUCCCGAAGGGACCUAGCCCGUGGGGCUCAGCUGCCCUGGGAGCUGCAGGGACGUGAGGAGGACAGCAGAGGGGUCUCUCGGCGGCUCCCUGGCCCCCACCCACUUGGUGCCAGGAGCACCCGCAGUUGUGACAACCAGAGAUGUAUCUGUGAUAACGCCCGGUUGAUCUUGGGCGGCCUCGGCCUACAGCAGCUUGAAGCAGGGUUUUGGUUUCUGGCCGGUGACAGGUCACAGCGGUGAGAGCACCGAAUCCUAGCCACUAGACCAGUGGUCGGUGACGAGGCCCUGGCGCUAUGGCUUUGCAGAAGAAGAAUUCCCACAAAGACGGAAAGUAGUGAAACAAGUAAAGUAUUUA